This 465-nucleotide ribosomal RNA is filed under the name uncultured bacterium. Its description in RNAcentral is "partial 16S ribosomal RNA". It matches the Rfam family "Bacterial small subunit ribosomal RNA", at positions 28 to 507 of the family's 1533-position model. The record is from RNAcentral.
GACGAACGCUGGCGGCGUGCUUAACACAUGCAAGUCGUACGGUAAGGCCCUUUCGGGGGUACACGAGUGGCGAACGGGUGAGUAACACGUGAGUAACCUUCCCACAACUUUGGGAUAACGCUAGGAAACUGGUGCUAAUACUGGAUAUGUGCUCCUGCUGCAUGGUGGGGGUUGGAAAGCUCCGGCGGUUGUGGAUGGACUCGCGGCCUAUCAGCUUGUUGGUGGGGUAGUGGCCUACCAAGGCGGCGACGGGUAGCCGGCCUGAGAGGGUGACCGGCCACAUUGGGACUGAGAUACGGCCCAGACUCCUACGGGAGGCAGCAGUGGGGAAUAUUGCACAAUGGGCGCAAGCCUGAUGCAGCAACGCCGCGUGCGGGAUAACGGCCUUCGGGUUGUAAACCGCUUUCAGCAGGGACGAAGCUUUUUGUGACGGUACCUGCAGAAGAAGCACCGGCUAACUACGUG